AGGUGAACACUCCUCAGACGAACUUCAGCAGCAGAUUCUCCACAAACAAACACGCAGCAGGAGGAGGAGGAGGACACAUGGAGCCGCAGCCAAUUACCCAACCCACCCACUGGGACUCGCCCCAACAUACCAGGAGGGUGAAGACUAACACAUGCCUCCUCCGAUACAUGUGAAGUCAGCCACCGCCUCUUUUCGAGCUGCUAAUGCAGCAUUACCGAGCAGCCAGAGCGCUUGGAGGACAGCGCAGCGGCUCGGCUCCGGUACAUCAGCUCACAGAUGCCCUGCGCUGCAGACAUCACCAUAGGAUUGAUGUGGGGAGAGAGCGCCAUCUACCCACCUGGAGGGAGCAGGGCCAAUUUUGCUCCCGCUAACGCCAGCAGAUUGAUGGCAAAGGUUCGAACCUGCGACCUCCCGCUCAUAGUGGCAGCGCUUUAGACCGCUGGACCACUCGGCGCCGCUACAAGUGUAGUUAAUACAAAGUUCUUUUUCUCUGCUGUUUUCAGUUGUUUACAUUCUGAAACUUUGAGGGCUUUAGAGACUCCUACAGGAAACUUGCCUUGGAGGACAUGAAAUGUUUGAUUUGUAUUCAGUAGAGUAUUAAUUUUUAAAAUCAAGUUGAAAAAGAAGUGCAAAUUUUAUGAUUUUUAUUUAUUAUAUUUUGACUGUUGUAAAUUUACUUUUACGUUUUGUUUUUAAAUAUUUUCUAUUACAAUUACGAUUGGGAUUUUCAAUAACAAUUCUUAUUAAACAUGGAACCUUUUUAACCUAAUGCAUGAAUAAAAAUAGUCAAGAUUUGGGUGUGUAAUAUCAGGCAGAAAAAUUACAAGAAUGUGGACCUGUUAAGGUUUUUUUUGUUAACUCCAAAUGGGUAGAGAACAGAAGGAUGAGUAUCUGAGUAUGCUGGGUUUUUAAAAAUAUUUGUUUAAAAAUUGUUUUAACAUAUAACAAAUAUAGCAAACAUGUCUACCUUUUGGAAUCAGUUCUUUUCUUCACUACUGUAAGUAAUUUGUAAGUGUAAUUAAAUCACAUUUUAGUUUUUUUGAGUAUCUGAUUCACCCAGUAGGGAGAAAUGAAUGAUAAAUGCACAUUUUCUC
Molecule: long non-coding RNA, 1094 nt
Organism: Astyanax mexicanus (Mexican tetra)
Lineage: Eukaryota; Metazoa; Chordata; Actinopteri; Characiformes; Acestrorhamphidae
Exons: 2
Source: RefSeq, a predicted model, not a curated record